Long non-coding RNA from Temnothorax curvispinosus, 425 nucleotides. RefSeq lists it as uncharacterized. Lineage: Eukaryota; Metazoa; Arthropoda; Insecta; Hymenoptera; Formicidae. The transcript has 2 exons. The record is from RefSeq and is a predicted model, not a curated record.
GAAACAGGCGUAACUUCUGAAUGAGAGAACUCUCGAGCGGCCCGGAGCUACUCAAGUUCUUGUGACAAAAGACGAACGAUGGCGACGGAAAAAGUCGGAAAGAUCCUUAAAGACAUCUACUAUGAUCAGUUCAAGUGGUCAGUGGUGAAGAACAUCGCUUUCUUCCUCAUCGGUGUCAAGAUCGCCGUUGAAUGCAACGGGAUGACUAUCAUGCCGCCAGUCUCCGUUUAAGCCUCCCUUCAAGUGACGUGAACCUGCUAUAAGAUCCAGAGAACUGUCCGAAUGCUCCAGCGAUUUCUUGCGUCUUGCACACUGCAGUUACAAUCGUUACGAGCAUGUAAUAGAUUUCAUCUGUACAAAACUAUGUAUAUUUUGUAUUUGAGACACACUUGUUAAAUAAUUAUUAAUAAACGAUGUAUACAGUA